Molecule: transfer RNA, 71 nt
Filed under: Marmota monax (woodchuck)
Lineage: Eukaryota; Metazoa; Chordata; Mammalia; Rodentia; Sciuridae
Description: tRNA.Ala
Source: RNAcentral
GGGGUUGUGGCUCAGCGGUAGAGUGUUCGCCUAGCAUGUGCAAGGUGCUGGGUUCCAUCCUCAGCACCACA